CACUAUCGUUAACUGAAUACAUAGGUUAACGAGGCGAACCGGGGGAACUGAAACAUCUAAGUACCCCGAGGAAAAGAAAUCAACCGAGAUUCCCCCAGUAGCGGCGAGCGAACGGGGAGCAGCCCGGAGUCUGAAUCAGCUUGUGUGUUAGUGGAACGGUCUGGAAAGUCCGACGGUACAGGGUGAUAGUCCCGUACACGAAAGCACACUUGCUGUGAACUCGAAGAGUAGGGCGGGACACGUGGUAUCCUGUCUGAAUAUGGGGGGACCAUCCUCCAAGGCUAAAUACUCCUGACUGACCGAUAGUGAACCAGUACCGUGAGGGAAAGGCGAAAAGAACCCCGGCGAGGGGAGUGAAAAAGAACCUGAAACCGUGUACGUACAAGCAGUGGGAGCACCUUCGUGGUGUGACUGCGUACCUUUUGUAUAAUGGGUCAGCGACUUAUAUUCUGUAGCAAGGUUAACCGUAUAGGGGAGCCGAAGGGAAACCGAGUCUUAACUGGGCGUUAAGUUGCAGGGUAUAGACCCGAAACCCGGUGAUCUAGCCAUGGGCAGGUUGAAGGUUGGGUAACACUAACUGGAGGACCGAACCGACUAAUGUUGAAAAAUUAGCGGAUGACCUGUGGCUGGGGGUGAAAGGCCAAUCAAACCGGGAGAUAGCUGGUUCUCCCCGAAAGCUAUUUAGGUAGCGCCUCGUGAACUCAUCUUCGGGGGUAGAGCACUGUUUCGGCUAGGGGGCCAUCCCGGCUUACCAACCCGAUGCAAACUACGAAUACCGAAGAAUGUUAUCACGGGAGACACACGGCGGGUGCUAACGUCCGUCGUGAAGAGGGAAACAACCCAGACCGCCAGCUAAGGUCCCAAAGUCAUGGUUAAGUGGGAAACGAUGUGGGAAGGCACAGACAGCCAGGAUGUUGGCUUAGAAGCAGCCAUCAUUUAAAGAAAGCGUAAUAGCUCACUGGUCGAGUCGGCCUGCGCGGAAGAUGUAACGGGGCUAAACCAUGCACCGAAGCUGCGGCAGCGACACUUAUGUGUUGUUGGGUAGGGGAGCGUUCUGUAAGCCGUUGAAGGUGUGCUGUGAGGCAUGCUGGAGGUAUCAGAAGUGCGAAUGCUGACAUAAGUAACGAUAAAGCGGGUGAAAAGCCCGCUCGCCGGAAGACCAAGGGUUCCUGUCCAACGUUAAUCGGGGCAGGGUGAGUCGACCCCUAAGGCGAGGCCGAAAGGCGUAGUCGAUGGGAAACAGGUUAAUAUUCCUGUACUUGGUGUUACUGCGAAGGGGGGACGGAGAAGGCUAUGUCAGCCGGGCGACGGUUGUCCCGGUUUAAGCAUGUAGGCGGAGGUUCCAGGUAAAUCCGGUACCUUGUUAACGCUGAGGUGUGAUGACGAGGCACUACGGUGCUGAAGUGAUAAAUGCCCUGCUUCCAGGAAAAGCCUCUAAGCAUCAGGUAACACGAAAUCGUACCCCAAACCGACACAGGUGGUCAGGUAGAGAAUACCAAGGCGCUUGAGAGAACUCGGGUGAAGGAACUAGGCAAAAUGGUGCCGUAACUUCGGGAGAAGGCACGCUGAUGUGUAGGUGAAGUCCCUGCGGACGGAGCUGAAAUCAGUCGAAGAUACCAGCUGGCUGCAACUGUUUAUUAAAAACACAGCACUGUGCAAACACGAAAGUGGACGUAUACGGUGUGACGCCUGCCCGGUGCCGGAAGGUUAAUUGAUGGGGUUAGCUGUAAGGCGAAGCUCUUGAUCGAAGCCCCGGUAAACGGCGGCCGUAACUAUAACGGUCCUAAGGUAGCGAAAUUCCUUGUCGGGUAAGUUCCGACCUGCACGAAUGGCGUAAUGAUGGCCAGGCUGUCUCCACCCGAGACUCAGUGAAAUUGAACUCGCUGUGAAGAUGCAGUGUACCCGCGGCAAGACGGAAAGACCCCGUGAACCUUUACUAUAGCUUGACACUGAACACUGGUCCUUGAUGUGUAGGAUAGGUGGGAGGCUUUGAAGCGUGGACGCCAGUCUGCGUGGAGCCGCCCUUGAAAUACCACCCUUUAAUGGCUGGUGUUCUAACGUAGACCCGUAAUCCGGGUUGCGGACAGUGUCUGGUGGGUAGUUUGACUGGGGCGGUCUCCUCCCAAAGAGUAACGGAGGAGCACGAAGGUUGGCUAAUCCUGGUCGGACAUCAGGAGGUUAGUGCAAUGGCAUAAGCCAGCUUGACUGCGAGCGUGACGGCGCGAGCAGGUGCGAAAGCAGGUCAUAGUGAUCCGGUGGUUCUGAAUGGAAGGGCCAUCGCUCAACGGAUAAAAGGUACUCCGGGGAUAACAGGCUGAUACCGCCCAAGAGUUCAUAUCGACGGCGGUGUUUGGCACCUCGAUGUCGGCUCAUCACAUCCUGGGGCUGAAGUAGGUCCCAAGGGUAUGGCUGUUCGCCAUUUAAAGUGGUACGCGAGCUGGGUUUAGAACGUCGUGAGACAGUUCGGUCCCUAUCUGCCGUGGGCGCUGGAGAAUUGAGGGGGGCUGCUCCUAGUACGAGAGGACCGGAGUGGACGCAUCACUGGUGUUCGGGUUGUCAUGCCAAUGGCACUGCCCGGUAGCUAAAUGCGGAAGAGAUAAGUGCUGAAAGCAUCUAAGCACGAAACUUGCCCCGAGAUGAGUUCUCCCUGAGACUUUAAGUCUCCUGAAGGAACGUUAAAGACGAUGACGUUGAUAGGUCGGGUGUGUAAGCGCAGCGAUGCGUUGAGCUAACCGAUACUAAUGAACCGUGAGGCUUAACCUU
This 2763-nucleotide ribosomal RNA is filed under the name Enterobacter cloacae. RNAcentral's name for it is "bacterial LSU rRNA". It matches the Rfam family "Bacterial large subunit ribosomal RNA". The record is from RNAcentral. Lineage: Bacteria; Pseudomonadati; Pseudomonadota; Gammaproteobacteria; Enterobacterales; Enterobacteriaceae.